CUUCAUGGAUUGGUGAUGAUGCUUGGGUUGAACUUCAAACUUAUUGGAAAAAGACCGAGUUUUUGGCUGUGUCUUCUCAAAACAAGACCAAUCGAGCUUCCGCAAGAGGCGGAGCAGUCCACACCACAGGCCGUAAGGCUCAUAUUGAUGUUGCACUUCAACUUUCACGUGAACUUCAAAGGGAUCUGCGUCCCGAUGAGUUAUUUUUAAAAACACACAAGAGGAAAAAUGGUGAAUGGGUUGACAGUCGUGCUGCAUCUACUUAUAAGACUUUUAAAGAGAAGUUUGAUGCAGAACUUCAGCCAACUGAAGAAGGGAAUGGAGAGGUUGUUCAAGUGUUAGAUGGAGAGCGUGUAAAUCAGCUAUGGACAGAGGCUGCUGGGGGCCGUAACCGUGGUCGGGUUUAUGGCGCUGCAGAUUUAGCUAUUAAUCUAAAACGUGGAUCAAAAAGUUUUACCCAACAAUCUCAAACUC
Long non-coding RNA from Lathyrus oleraceus (garden pea), 474 nucleotides. RefSeq lists it as uncharacterized. NCBI's taxonomy places the organism in Eukaryota, Viridiplantae, Streptophyta, Magnoliopsida, Fabales, Fabaceae. The record is from RefSeq and is a predicted model, not a curated record. The transcript has 3 exons.